This 492-nucleotide ribosomal RNA is filed under the name uncultured bacterium. RNAcentral's name for it is "partial 16S ribosomal RNA". It matches the Rfam family "Bacterial small subunit ribosomal RNA", at positions 29 to 507 of the family's 1533-position model. The record is from RNAcentral.
AGUGAACGCUGGCGGUAGGCCUAACACAUGCAAGUCGAACGGCAGCACAGUAAGAGCUUGCUCUUACGGGUGGCGAGUGGCGGACGUGUGAGGAAUACAUCGGAAUCUACUUUUUCGUGGGGGAUAACGUAGGGAAACUUACGCUAAUACCGCAUACGACCUACGGGUGAAAGCACGGGAUCUUCGGACCUUGCGCGAUUGAAUGACCCGAUGUCGGAUUAGCUAGUUGGCGGGGUAAAGGCCCACCAAGGCGACGAUCCGUAGCUGGUCUGAGAGGAUGAUCAGCCCCACUGGAACUGAGACACGGUCCAGACUCCUACGGGAGGCAGCAGUGGGGAAUAUUGGACAAUGGGCGCAAGCCUGAUCCAGCCAGACCGCGUGGGUGAAGAAGGCCUUCGAGUUGUGAAGCCGUUUUGUUGGGGAAGAAAAGCAGCAGGUUAAAACCCCGCUGUUCUGACGGUACCCAAAGAAUAAGCACCGGCUAACUUCGUG